AGCGAACGCUGGCGGCAGGCUUAACACAUGCAAGUCGAACGCCCCGCAAGGGGAGUGGCAGACGGGUUAGUAACACGUGGGAACGUACCCUUUGGGUAGGGAUAACUGGGGGAAACUCAAGCUAAUACCGGAUAAGCCCUUAUGGGGAAAGGUUUACUGCCGAAGGAUCGGCCCGCGUCUGAUUAGCUAGUUGGUGAGGUAAUGGCUCACCAAGGCGACGAUCAGUAGCUGGUCUGGGAGGAUGAUCAGCCACACUGGGACUGAGACACGGCCCAGUCUCCUACGGGAGGCAGCAGUGGGGAAUAUUGGACAAUGGGGGCAACCCUGAUCCAGCCAUGCCGCGUGAGUGAUGAAGGCCUUAGGGUUGUAAAGCUCUUUUACCCGGGACGAUAAUGACUGUACCGGGAGAAUAAGCCCCGGCUAACUUCGUGCCAGCAGCCGCAGUAA
This 447-nucleotide ribosomal RNA is filed under the name uncultured bacterium. RNAcentral's name for it is "partial 16S ribosomal RNA". It matches the Rfam family "Bacterial small subunit ribosomal RNA", at positions 29 to 523 of the family's 1533-position model. The record is from RNAcentral.